GACGGGUGAGUAACACGUGGGUAACCUACCUAUAAGACUGGAAUAACUCCGGGAAACCGGGGCUAAUGCCGGAUAACAUGUUGAACCGCAUGGUUCUACAGUGAAAGACGGUCUUGCUGUCACUUAUAGAUGGACCCGCGCCGUAUUAGCUAGUUGGUGGGGUAACGGCCUACCAAGGCGACGAUACGUAGCCGACCUGAGAGGGUGAUCGGCCACACUGGAACUGAGACACGGUCCAGACUCCUACGGGAGGCAGCAGUAGGGAAUCUUCCGCAAUGGGCGAAAGCCUGACGGAGCAACGCCGCGUGAGUGAUGAAGGUCUUCGGAUCGUAAAGCUCUGUUGUUAGGGAAGAACAAAUGUGUAAGUAACUGUGCACAUCUUGACGGUACCUAACCAGAAAGCCACGGCUAACUACGUGCCAGCAGCCGCGGUAAUACGUAGGUGGCAAGCGUUAUCCGGAAUUAUUGGGCGUAAAGCGCGCGUAGGCGGUUUUUUAAGUCUGAUGUGAAAGCCCACGGCUCAACCGUGGAGGGUCAUUGGAAACUGGAAAACUUGAGUGCAGAAGAGGAAAGUGGAAUUCCAUGUGUAGCGGUGAAAUGCGCAGAGAUAUGGAGGAACACCAGUGGCGAAGGCGGCUUUCUGGUCUGCAACUGACGCUGAUGUGCGAAAGCGUGGGGAUCAAACAGGAUUAGAUACCCUGGUAGUCCACGCCGUAAACGAUGAGUGCUAAGUGUUAGGGGGUUUCCGCCCCUUAGUGCUGCAGCUAACGCAUUAAGCACUCCGCCUGGGGAGUACGGUCGCAAGACUGAAACUCAAAGGAAUUGACGGGGACCCGCACAAGCGGUGGAGCAUGUGGUUUAAUUCGAAGCAACGCGAAGAACCUUACCAAAUCUUGACAUCCUUUGACCGCUCUAGAGAUAGAGUUUUCCUCUUCGGAGGACAAAGUGACAGGUGGUGCAUGGUUGUCGUCAGCUCGUGUCGUGAGAUGUUGGGUUAAGUCCC
Molecule: ribosomal RNA, 1003 nt
Filed under: Staphylococcus pseudintermedius
Lineage: Bacteria; Bacillati; Bacillota; Bacilli; Caryophanales; Staphylococcaceae
Description: bacterial SSU rRNA
Rfam family: Bacterial small subunit ribosomal RNA
Source: RNAcentral